ACGCUCGACACCUACGAGGCAGCAGUCGGGAAUAUUGCGCAAUGGAGGAAACUCUGACGCAGUGACGCCGCGUAUAGGAAGAAGGUUUUCGGAUUGUAAACUAUUGUCGUUAGGGAAGAAAAAGGACAGUACCUAAGGAGGAAGCUCCGGCUAACUACGUGGCAGCAGCCGCGGUAAUCUGAGCGGGCUGGCAAGGC
RNAcentral lists this ribosomal RNA (197 nucleotides) under uncultured bacterium. RNAcentral's name for it is "partial 16S ribosomal RNA". It matches the Rfam family "Bacterial small subunit ribosomal RNA", at positions 326 to 539 of the family's 1533-position model. The record is from RNAcentral.